GGGUGAGGUGGGGGAACUGCCAAUCAGGCUAUGGAAAUCAGCCCUCUCCCACCAUGUGGGCCCCAGGAAUCAGGCUCAGAUUGUCAGGCUUCCCGGGUCUUUAUUCAGCCAUUUGUCAGGAUCUCCACCUCGGUUUUUGAAACAGGGUGUCUUGCUGUAUCUGAAGUUCCUGGACGGGCUACAUGGGUUGGCCCUUGAGUUCUCGGGGUUCGCCUACUCUCUCCCUGCUGGGGCUGUUACUGACACACACCACCAUGCUGAUCUCGGGGAACAGAACUUAGCUCCUCAUGCUUUUAUGGCGAACACUUUAUCCACUGAGCCGUUUCCCAGCUCAGUCUUGGUUUGAUUGCCCGUCCUUCUUCUCGUUCACCCAGAGCUGCUGCUGCCUCUCUUCUUCCCUGAGGCGCACAGCAACAGCAACCCUGGUCACAUUUGGGUGGCCAAGCCUGUCGUGCCUGGGAAGCUUGGAAGCCAAUAUUCAGCUGGGUUGCUCUUUUGCCUGUUCUUUGGGGGUGGCUCACCCCAGCUCUGCUUUCCGAGAAAACAAGGCUGAACUUUGUUCAGCCAAAGCCCAAUUUCCCUGAGGUCUGCUGUUUGUUCCCCAGCCUGCCUCCCUCCAGCUGCUCCACUGUUGACCAGCCUCUCUCACACUUCUCUCUGCUUCCUCAGCUCCAGCACCUACUUCUUGGAAGGUGGCCAUAUGGGGCCCAGCAGAUGGAAUACAGGCCCUGUGCUGGCCAUGACCUGCUGGGCUUGACUUCACCACCAAGCGGGGUCGAGAAUGAGGACUGUCCUCCCCAAGGAUCCCGUCUGUCCUCCCAGCAGACAUCACCACCCUGACUCAAGAGGAAAAUGCCCUUGAUUUUCUAUAUUGUUCUGCCAUCAAAAUAUGGAUACAAAUAGAUAUUCCUUGCAGUUUACUCCUAAGCGCCGCUUGGGAGCCUCGACGGCCCACUAGCUUCUGGCUGCUCGCCAUCUUGGAAUCCUUCAUGUCACGCUGACUUGACUGUGUGUCAUGAUCCACAGUGACAAGCCUGCUUAGACCAGUGCUUCUAAGUGUCCCUGUCUUGAUGGAUUAGCUUGGCCAGGACAAGUUUACACAUCACUGGAGAAGUGUGAAGAGGGCGUGCGGAUGGAAAAAAUAGAGACGCAGGAAGAGGUUUAUAAUGUUUGAAAUUAUGCAGCCCAGCCCGGAACGUUCCAUAAAAACUUUCUCCUGGCUC
This is a long non-coding RNA of Peromyscus leucopus (white-footed mouse), 1223 nucleotides long. RefSeq lists it as uncharacterized. The transcript is spliced from 3 exons. The record is from RefSeq and is a predicted model, not a curated record. NCBI's taxonomy places the organism in Eukaryota, Metazoa, Chordata, Mammalia, Rodentia, Cricetidae.